CCCUUAGAUGUUCUGGGCAGCACGCGCGCUACAAUGGUCUUCGCAAACGGAUGCAUUCUCGAAGGAGAAUGCCAAUCUUGGAAUCUAUGCCUUGGUCGGGACAGUUGCUUGCAAUUUUUCGACUCGAACCAGGAAUUCCUUGUAAUCGUGAUUCAUCACAUCACGAUGAAUACGUCCCUGCCCUUUGUACACACCGCCCGUCGCUCCUACCGAUCGAAGAGUUAGGUGAAUCGUUUUGAUCGAUAAGAUUUGACUAUGGUCAACUCUCGUUGUGAAAUUCUGUGAAUCUGACUGUUUAGAGGAAGGAAAAGUCGUAACA
RNAcentral lists this ribosomal RNA (319 nucleotides) under uncultured eukaryote. RNAcentral's name for it is "partial 18S ribosomal RNA". It matches the Rfam family "Eukaryotic small subunit ribosomal RNA", at positions 1470 to 1796 of the family's 1831-position model. The record is from RNAcentral.